GGGGAGCGCGCUACACAUGCAGUCGAGCGGGGGAAGUAGCUUGCUACUGGACCUAGCGGCGGACGGGUGAGUAAUGCUUAGGAAUCUGCCUAUUAGUGGGGGACAACAUUCCGAAAGGAAUGCUAAUACCGCAUACGUCCUACGGGAGAAAGCAGGGGACCUUCGGGCCUUGCGCUAAUAGAUGAGCCUAAGUCGGAUUACCUAGUUGGUGGGGUAAAGGCCUACCAAGGCGUCGAUCUGUAGCGCGUCUGAGUGGAUGAUCCGGCACACUGGGAC
Molecule: ribosomal RNA, 276 nt
Filed under: Acinetobacter sp. NAD-A13
Lineage: Bacteria; Pseudomonadati; Pseudomonadota; Gammaproteobacteria; Moraxellales; Moraxellaceae
Description: partial 16S ribosomal RNA
Rfam family: Bacterial small subunit ribosomal RNA
Source: RNAcentral